GGUUAAGCGACCAAGCGUACACGGUGGAUGCCCUGGCAGUCAGAGGCGAUGAAGGACGUGCUAAUCUGCGAAAAGCGCCGGUAAGGUGAUAUGAACCGUUAUAACCGGCGAUGUCCGAAUGGGGAAACCCAGUGUGACUCGUCACACUAUCAUUAACUGAAUCCAUAGGUUAAUGAGGCGAACCGGGGGAACUGAAACAUCUAAGUACCCCGAGGAAAAGAAAUCAACCGAGAUUCCCCCAGUAGCGGCGAGCGAACGGGGAGGAGCCCAGAGCCUGAAUCAGCAUGUGUGU
This 292-nucleotide ribosomal RNA is filed under the name Salmonella enterica. RNAcentral's name for it is "partial 23S ribosomal RNA". It matches the Rfam family "Bacterial large subunit ribosomal RNA", at positions 1 to 289 of the family's 2925-position model. Lineage: Bacteria; Pseudomonadati; Pseudomonadota; Gammaproteobacteria; Enterobacterales; Enterobacteriaceae. The record is from RNAcentral.